This 313-nucleotide unclassified non-coding RNA is filed under the name plant metagenome. Its description in RNAcentral is "partial contains 5.8S ribosomal RNA, internal transcribed spacer 2, and large subunit ribosomal RNA". The stretch from base 1 to 106 matches the Rfam family "5.8S ribosomal RNA", at positions 50 to 154 of the family's 154-position model. The record is from RNAcentral.
GAAAUGCGAUAAGUAAUGCGAAUUGCAGAAUUUCCGUGAGUCAUCGAAUCUUUGAACGCACAUUGCGCCCUCUGGCAUUCCGGGGGGCAUGCCUGUCCGAGCGUCAUUACGCACCCUCAAGCCCGGCUUGUGUGAUGGGCCCCGGCGUCUCGUUCGCGAGACGGGCCCGAAAGGCAGCGGCGGCGUCGACCCGAUGAGCCCGAGCGUAUGGGGACUUCUGUCACACGUUCGCGGUGCGGACCGGCGCCUGCUUGACUUUUCUGAUUAUCCAGGUUGACCUCGGAUCAGGUAGGGAUACCCGCUGAACUUAAGC